AUUCCAGCUCCAAUAGCGUAUAUUAAAGUUGUUGCAGUUAAAAAGCUCGUAGUUGGAUUUCUGGCUGGAGCGAUCGGUCCGCCCCGCAAGGGGUGUGUACUAGCGUCGUCUCCGACCAUCCUUGUGGGAACUGUGCGGCCGUUAACUCGGUUGUAUAUGGGAACACAUCGUUUACUGUGAAAAAAUUAGAGUGUUUAAAGCAGGCUUAAGCCGUUGAAUACAUUAGCAUGGAAUAAUAAGAUAAGACUUGGGUCAUUAUUUUGUUGGUUUGCGGAUCGAGGUAAUGAUUAAUAGGGAUAGUUGGGGGUAUUCAUAUUUAAUUGUCAGAGGUGAAAUUCUUGGAUUUAUGAAAGAUGAACUUAGGCGAAAGCAUUUACCAAGGAUGUUUUCAUUA
RNAcentral lists this ribosomal RNA (394 nucleotides) under Stramenopiles sp. MAST-1A. Its description in RNAcentral is "partial small subunit ribosomal RNA". It matches the Rfam family "Eukaryotic small subunit ribosomal RNA", at positions 582 to 975 of the family's 1831-position model. The record is from RNAcentral.